Molecule: unclassified non-coding RNA, 603 nt
Filed under: Hevea brasiliensis (rubber tree)
Lineage: Eukaryota; Viridiplantae; Streptophyta; Magnoliopsida; Malpighiales; Euphorbiaceae
Source: RNAcentral
ACCAGCAUUCCAUGUCUCAAAAUGAGGGCCAACGUUCGGAAGACCAACAGCAAUGCUUAGCAGAGAAAUCUUGUUCACACCAGCUCUCAGAUUUAUACCGUUGCUGAAAGUUAGUUUUGGGUUUUCUAAACUUCCGUACACAGUUCCUGCUAAUUGACCAUUCACGAAUACAUGCAAUGCAUGGCCAGCAGAGAAGACAGUAAGCCAAGGCCAAUUUCCACUAUUCAAAAAUCCUUCUGUUGGAUCAAUCUCAAUGUCAGUCAUAUACCACAAGUAAUCAGAUACAUCUCUUGUGAUAUUAAUCUGCUCCAAUAACCCAACAACUGUGAAAGUGUCGUCUUCAUGCGAUGCUGCGUCUUCAUUGAAUGACUCCCAUGAGAAUCCUCUACUGACUGGAGUCAUCUUCAUCUGAGCACUUUGAGCACCAACCCUUGCAGUAUUAUAGACAGUGUUCUUGCAGUCGGGAAGAAUGCUGAUAGACCAGGGUGGCAAGUUAUAAUGCAUGUUCCCAAAUGCCACUUUAGCAAAAGAGUGCUGGUUGUAAUUUGCUAGGAAGGCAGCGCAGGCCCCAGACUCUGACUUGAAAACACGUGCCUCUUGAUA